This 30-nucleotide non-coding RNA is filed under the name Homo sapiens (human). Lineage: Eukaryota; Metazoa; Chordata; Mammalia; Primates; Hominidae. The record is from RNAcentral.
UCCUCUGCCGUGGUCUUCAUAUUUGUGAGC